Molecule: ribosomal RNA, 511 nt
Filed under: Candida albicans
Lineage: Eukaryota; Fungi; Ascomycota; Pichiomycetes; Serinales; Debaryomycetaceae
Description: eukaryotic LSU rRNA
Rfam family: 5.8S ribosomal RNA (bases 143-296)
Source: RNAcentral
AGGUACUGAAUGCUUAUUGCACCACAUGUGUUUUUCUUUGAAACAAACUUGCUUUGGCGGUGGGCCCAGCCUGCCGCCAGAGGUCUAAACUUACAACCAAUUUUUUAUCAACUUGUCACACCAGAUUAUUACUAAUAGUCAAAACUUUCAACAACGGAUCUCUUGGUUCUCGCAUCGAUGAAGAACGCAGCGAAAUGCGAUACGUAAUAUGAAUUGCAGAUAUUCGUGAAUCAUCGAAUCUUUGAACGCACAUUGCGCCCUCUGGUAUUCCGGAGGGCAUGCCUGUUUGAGCGUCGUUUCUCCCUCAAACCGCUGGGUUUGGUGUUGAGCAAUACGACUUGGGUUUGCUUGAAAGACGGUAGUGGUAAGGCGGGAUCGCUUUGACAAUGGCUUAGGUCUAACCAAAAACAUUGCUUGCGGCGGUAACGUCCACCACGUAUAUCUUCAAACUUUGACCUCAAAUCAGGUAGGACUACCCGCUGAACUUAAGCAUAUCAAAAGCCGGGAGGAA